GGUUACAGCCCUACCACCCUGACCGCACCCAAUCUCAUCUGAUCUUGGAAGCUAACCAGGACAGACUUGCUUAGUACUUGGAUGGGAGAAAGAGGGAUGGACAGAAUUGACCU
RNAcentral lists this ribosomal RNA (113 nucleotides) under Carlito syrichta (Philippine tarsier). Lineage: Eukaryota; Metazoa; Chordata; Mammalia; Primates; Tarsiidae. The record is from RNAcentral.